AGUGAACGCUGGCGGUAGGCCUAACACAUGCAAGUCGAACGGCAGCACAGUAAGAGCUUGCUCUUACGGGUGGCGAGUGGCGGACGGGUGAGGAAUACAUCGGAAUCUACUUUUUCGUGGGGGAUAACGUAGGGAAACUUACGCUAAUACCGCAUACGACCUACGGGUGAAAGCAGGGGACCUUCGGACCUUGCGCGAUUGAAUGAGCCGAUGUCGGAUUAGCUAGUUGGCGGGGUAAAGGCCCACCAAGGCGACGAUCCGUAGCUGGUCUGAGAGGAUGAUCAGCCACACUGGAACUGAGACACGGUCCAGACUCCUACGGGAGGCAGCAGUGGGGAAUAUUGGACAAUGGGCGCAAGCCUGAUCCAGCCAUGCCGCGUGGGUGAAGAAGGCCUUCGGGUUGUAAAGCCCUUUUGUUGGGAAAGAAAAGCAGCAGGUUAAUACCCCGCUGUUCUGACGGUACCCAAAGAAUAAGCACCGGCUAACUUCGUG
Molecule: ribosomal RNA, 492 nt
Filed under: uncultured bacterium
Lineage: Bacteria
Description: partial 16S ribosomal RNA
Rfam family: Bacterial small subunit ribosomal RNA
Source: RNAcentral